Molecule: small nucleolar RNA, 125 nt
Filed under: Chinchilla lanigera (long-tailed chinchilla)
Lineage: Eukaryota; Metazoa; Chordata; Mammalia; Rodentia; Chinchillidae
Description: Small nucleolar RNA SNORA70 (ENSCLAG00000018354.1)
Rfam family: Small nucleolar RNA SNORA70
About the family: snoRNA U70 seems to be exclusive to mammals and is a member of the H/ACA class of snoRNA which contain H (ANANNA) and ACA box motifs. H/ACA box snoRNAs are involved in the conversion of uridines to pseudouridines (5-ribosyluracil) a constituent of structural RNAs (transfer, ribosomal, small nuclear, and small nucleolar).
Source: Rfam by way of RNAcentral
CUACAGACAAUGAUGUACUUUGCUGGUGGGUUCUCAGCAUGCAAUGGCUGCAAACAGCAACUUCCACAGUAGUGUACACAGCCUGUCUCUCAUAUGGGUUUCCUUAAGGGAUCUUGGAGACACUG